AACGAACGCUGGCGGCAUGCCUAACACAUGCAAGUCGAACGAAGGCUUCGGCCUUAGUGGCGCACGGGUGCGUAACGCGUGGGAAUCUGCCCUUUGGUUCGGAAUAACAGCUGGAAACGGCUGCUAAUCCCGGAUGAUGACGAAAGUCCAAAGAUUUAUCGCCAGAGGAUGAGCCCGCGUUGGAUUAGGUAGUUGGUGGGGUAAAGGCCUACCAAGCCGACGAUCCAUAGCUGGUCUGAGAGGAUGAUCAGCCACACUGGGACUGAGACACGGCCCAGACUCCUACGGGAGGCAGCAGUGGGGAAUACUGGACAAUGGGCGCAAGCCUGAUCCAGCAAUGCCGCGUGAGUGAUGAAGGCCCUAGGGUUGUAAAGCUCUUUUACCCGGGAAGAUAAUGACUGUACCGGGAGAAUAAGCCCCGGCUAACUCCGUG
Molecule: ribosomal RNA, 433 nt
Filed under: uncultured bacterium
Lineage: Bacteria
Description: partial 16S ribosomal RNA
Rfam family: Bacterial small subunit ribosomal RNA
Source: RNAcentral